GGGGGCCCGCACAAGCGGCGGAGCAUGCGGAUUAAUUCGAUGUAACGCGAAGAACCUUACCAAGGCUUGACAUGAACCGGAAAUACCUGGAAACAGGUGCCCCGCUUGCGGUCGGUUUACAGGUGGUGCAUGGUUGUCGUCAGCUCGUGUCGUGAGAUGUUGGGUUAAGUCCCGCAACGAGCGCAACCCUCGUUCUAUGUUGCCAGCGCGUUAUGGCGGGGACUCAUAGGAGACUGCCGGGGUCAACUCGGAGGAAGGUGGGGACGACGUCAAAUCAUCAUGCCCCUUAUGUCUUGGGCUUCACGCAUGCUACAAUGGCCGGUACAAAGGGUUGCGAUACUGUGAGGUGGAGCUAAUCCCAAAAAGCCGGUCUCAGUUCGGAUUGGGGUCUGCAACUCGACCCCAUGAAGUCGGAGUCGCUAGUAAUCGCAGAUCAGCAACGCUGCGGUGAAUACGUUCCCGGGCCUUGUACACACCGCCCGUCAAGUCACGAAAGUUGGUAACACCCGAAGCCGGUGGCCUAACCCCUUGUGGGAGGGAGCUGUCNAANGUGGGACUGGCGAUUGGNACNANNUCGUANCAAGGUANCCGUANNGGC
This 598-nucleotide ribosomal RNA is filed under the name uncultured bacterium. Its description in RNAcentral is "bacterial SSU rRNA". It matches the Rfam family "Bacterial small subunit ribosomal RNA", at positions 915 to 1509 of the family's 1533-position model. The record is from RNAcentral.